GUGGGGAAUCUUGCGCAAUGGGCGAAAGCCUGACGCAGCCAUGCCGCGUGAAUGAUGAAGGUCUUAGGAUUGUAAAAUUCUUUCACCGGGGACGAUAAUGACGGUACCCGGAGAAGAAGCCCCGGCUAACUUCGUGCCAGCAGCCGCGGUAAUACGAAGGGGGCUAGCGUUGCUCGGAAUUACUGGGCGUAAAGGGCGCGUAGGCGGACAGUUUAGUCAGAGGUGAAAGCCCAGGGCUCAACCUUGGAAUUGCCUUUGAUACUGGCUGGCUUGAGUACGGGAGAGGUGAGUGGAACUCCGAGUGUAGAGGUGAAAUUCGUAGAUAUUCGGAAGAACACCAGUGGCGAAGGCGACUCACUGGCCCGUUACUGACGCUGAGGCGCGAAAGCGUGGGGAGCAAACAGGAUUAGAAACCCUUGUAGUCC
Molecule: ribosomal RNA, 425 nt
Filed under: uncultured bacterium
Lineage: Bacteria
Description: partial 16S ribosomal RNA
Rfam family: Bacterial small subunit ribosomal RNA
Source: RNAcentral